RNAcentral lists this long non-coding RNA (2415 nucleotides) under Lathyrus oleraceus (garden pea). RNAcentral's name for it is "Pisum sativum (pea) long non-coding RNA (PSAT_LNC031310)". The record is from RNAcentral. Lineage: Eukaryota; Viridiplantae; Streptophyta; Magnoliopsida; Fabales; Fabaceae.
GAUAGAUUAUAAGUCAAUAGUUAUUAGUUAAUGAUCAAAAGAUCAAUUAAUCGAAUCGGGACAAUCUAGCGCUAUGUUAAGCAAUCAUAGUUCGAUCUAUAUAAAGAUCACACUAUGGGAGGCUGGGGAAUGAAACUUAUGCAUCAAACAUAUUAGGGAAUUAAUACAAAUUAAUCUCUUAAAAUACGAAACACAAUAGAAAAAUGAAAGAAAGAAAAUAGAAUCAAAAGGAUUAAAAAUCAAUUAAUCAAAUAAUAGAAAAAAGAAUUGGAUAGUGGAAAAUAAAUGGAAAAUUAAACAUCAAGAGAUUGAAAGAAAAUUAAAGUGUAAAACAAUUUUGAAAAGAAAUUAAAAAAAGAAACAAAUAAGAAGUAAAUAACAAAAAAUCCAGAAAUUAAAAUCAAAAGCCAGGGGUUGCAAAGCAGAAAAUAGUGGUAUGUCGGAGUUUGGGCACAGAGGCCCAAUCCAAGGCCCACUGGCCUUAAGCCCUGAACAGAGGGGUACAGGAAGCAGUUUGAGGUGUUUGAACAUGAUUGCGGAUGGGACAACGCAUGCAGAGGCCCAUUCACUCCUUACUCACGCAGGAAGGGUGCACCAAGUGGACUCAGGGGUGCUACUAGCAAAUCCAUGGGCAUGAGUCCCAGCCGAAUUUAAACCAAAGCAAAAUGAGGGAAGGGUCAGCUUGCUUGGAUUCAACUCACAUGCAUUCAUACAUCACUUCAAUGCUCUCUCCUCUAACAUAUUUCAUCCCCGGAGUCUCUAAUCAACUCCGGCGAUGACGAAGGGCCAAACAUGAAAUUGAUUGCAUCAUUCUAUUCGAUUUCACCCCCUCCAUUCAAAUCUUAUAAUCACUGAACCUAAUUCCAAAUAUAAAGGCCAAAUCGAAACAAAAAGUGUAUGGACCCUAAUCUACAAAACCAGAAAUUAAAUGAAGACCACGAUGGAUCAAAGCCUCUGAUGAGAGGGCUUUGAUUCCUGACACAAGGAGCUACAUCUUGGUAAGCAAAUUUAAGCAAAAUGGAGCAGAAUAAUUGGAGCCCUACUUGCCGGAGACGAAGGUGAUGACGACGGAGAUGAAGGUUAAAUCAGGUACUCUUCAAUUCAUUCCUUCCUUUCCCCUUUUCAAAAUCUUCUUCUUCUCUUCUGCUCUGAGUUAUUAAUAUUGUUCUGAGAGUGAGUGAUUAAGAGGUUUAGGGUGAGUGGUUGAUUGAGAUCGCUUGAGGGAGAUUGAGAGACUACAAGUUUUGAGAGAGCUUAUGUGAGUGAAUUUGCGAAUCGAUGAGAGUGGAAGUUUUAGAGGCUUAGCUCAAGCACACUUGAAGCUUCAAGGUGAAGCUUUAAUGGCUGCAACAUUGAGCUUUAGGUGAGGGUUUGGUGAGAGAGAUUCCGAGAGUGACCGAAGAAGAUGAUUGGUGAAAAAAGUGGAAAAUGAUUGGUGAAAAAAGUGGAAAAUGAUUGGUGAAGUUUUUUUUUUUGGAAAAUGAAUCGUGAACCAUCCAAUUGUGAGGUGUAAUUCUGGCAGAGUUUUAGUGGUUGCAAAGCUUAAUCUCAAAGUGUGACGAGAGUGCUCAAUUUAUAGGGCAAUUGAGGGUGAAUGAUACAUGUGAUAUAUACUACCACUUGUAUUUGUAUUGUCUUGUUAUAUACUACAACUUGUACCUAGUUUUAUUUUACACUCGUAUUCUUUGUUUACUUGGGCCUGCAUGAUGGUCAUUGUUAUGAGUUUGUGGACUGUCUAUUAUGUUGUUAUUGCUGAUAUGUGCUACUUGUUUUUAUUCUUUUAGGAUUAGCCAAUCACAAUAGUGUGAUGGAUUGCCAAAUUGUUAAAUGCUAGAAUUGAUUUCUAAGUUGUUAGUUAGGAAAACUAGGUUAUUAGCAUAAUGUUGGUUCUGAUGUGGAUACUUGAAUAAUGGUUAGUAUUAGGUUUUCUUUAGAUCAUGUAACUGACUUGGAAAAAAUGCUAAUAAAGCUUGUAAGUUGGACUGAUGUUGUUGUGAUAUUGCUAUGGACUAAUUGGUUUGCUAUGUUGUUAUGAUGUUGUAGGAAAAGGUGAGAUUAUGGUGGCAAGACAAGUCAGAGUAUUGUGGAGGCCUAUGGAAACAUCAUGGCAUGGUGGAUUGACGGGCUGUCAAGUUCAAAGCUUCUUCCUUUUUUUACUUUUGAUUCAAGCUAUGUAACAUGUGAACAUGUAGCAUGCUAUGAUGAUGUAGUAGUUAUUAGGAAAUGGAUUAGUUUAUGUAAAAUGAUUUUAUUCUUGUAAUGAAGAAUGUUUAUGGAUAAGCUCAUGUGAUCAUGCUUGUGUAAAGAAAAAGCUUAAUUGUGAUUCAAACUCAAAUUUGUGAUUCCAAUUCAAAUCAAACCCCACUUGUUUUGCUAGACCCAAAAUGUGUGUAAUCCUCUUAUGAGUGCUAUAUA